UUUAAGGGAGUUAUAUGAGCACACCUGUUCGGUUCACCUAGCCGAGUUAGGCUGCGCACCAGCCGAGCCCGAUUCAUACGGAAGCCUUAAGGAGGUCAAAUAGAGCGCGAAAUUGUACCAUUAUCCUUGUUCUGCCAUUUGGUGUUUUGUACAUCAUUUGCAGCCAGUUCAGGAAAGUUUCACAAAAGUACAAUUUCUUUACAUGUUUCAAAGGUGAAAGGCCAUGACACCCUGUCAAAGGCUUUAUCUGCAUUGAGAGUUAGCAUAGGCAGGUGGUGUUUUUUUCUUCAGCGUGUUGCAUUACAUUAAACGUUGAGUUAACAUUAUCACUCAGGAGUCUGCUGGACACAACCCGUUUGGUCGGAGUUUAUGAUAUCUGGAAUUAUAUUGCUUAGUUUCUGUUAGAUUCUUGACCUCUGGAAAAUAUCGUUUUUGGUAGUAUCAGGCAAAUUCAUUAGCUAUUUAGAUUAUUUUCGGGAGGAAUUUAGUUAUUUUGAAUUCCUAGAAUGUUGGCCCCUUUACUUUUUCUCAGUCUAAAUGUUAGUAGUUCCUGGGCCUUUGGGCCACUAUCAUAAUAUUUCUGUUUAGUAAAUACCGCGACUAAAAUUUGGUAUUUAAAAAUAAAUAAAAAAGUUUUGUUUUGGAUCAGUCGGUUUCCAUUUUUCACAUGGAUCCUAGAAAAAAUUGGAACCUUUCCCUUGAAAAUAUAUUUUUGUGGAAAAAAAAUAUCCCUGAAAGCAUGAAUUCCUUUCAAAUUAGACAAUACACGUAAUAAUGUAAGCACUUCAUACAAAAAGAGAAUAACUUUUAACCAGGAGCAGUCAGUAGAAAUUAAUAUUAUUGAAGAUGCCAGUAAUGACGAUAAGUAGGAAGAGAAGUAAUACCAAUACCAAUAAUGAGGAUAAUGUUCAUUGUAGUAUUAACGUCACUAAAAGUAAUAAUAUGAUUAGGUUAUUAUAAUAAUACAUUAUGGUAACCAUAAUGUAUAGUACAGAUUAUCAUAACAUUCAUAAUGGCUAAGAGGAUUUGGUGUAGGACAUAUUGCCAUUCCCAUUUCCGUCCUAUACAGUCCUUAUCAUCACCCAACACGGCGACUGUGGGAUGCAUACACGCACACGCCCCCACACGCACAGGUCCAAUUCAGCUCUGAUUCAUACUCAGCCUUAUGUAUUUUUAAUCACAUAGCCCUGAGCUUAUUGGGACGCUUAAAGCGCUUAGAUGAUAUCCCUAUAUAAUGUUGUAUGGCUUCCUACAAUUGGCGGCUGGUGGUUCUUUAAUUUGGGAGAACAGGCUCAUAGUAAUGGCUGGAACGGAUUUAGUGGAAUGGUAUCACACAUCAAACUCAGGGUUUCUAUGCGUUUGAUACCACACCCUUCCAGCCAUUAUUAUGAGCCGUCCUCCCCUCACCAGCCUCCUGUGCUCCCUACGUGGUAGUAGACAUUCAGUCUAAGCUAAAAGCUCCCGUUGGUUUUUGUAUUGAGCCGGCUAGCCAGGCUGGGCGGUCUAGCUUACUUUACACUGUGCAAACCCAGUGCAUUAAUAAAAAUAACAAUAAAAAAAGUAAUCAAAUCUGUAAAAACAAUAUCUACUUAAUGUUGGGGCCCAGGAUACACUGCUAAAAGCCCACCUGAUCAAACUGCAAAUUAGUCGCCGUGGUAACUUUAUUACGGCCAGCCUCAGCGACGGGCACCCAUAAAUAAUUCAACUGCACUACUGUCUGGGAGCUACCAUGAUUUAAUUCUGGUAAAGAAUGGUGCGAGAGUGCGUGUUUGUGUAUGUGUGUGUGUGUGUUUCUGACAGUGUGUGUGAAACAAGAGUUUCUCUAACCGCGCUCUCAUUGGCAGGCGACCAGUGCAGCGCUAGCAGCACACACACCACCGCAGCAUAUUCCUCCCCAUCAGUUCUGUGGCUCUGUGUCAGUCAAUACAGGCUGAUCGAUGACGAUGGGGCCCUGCUGGGGGAAGGUGUGUGUGCGUGCAGGAGCCCUGGCUGAGUUAAUAUGUGGACAGUCCUCUGCAAUGAUGACGCUAUUGAUCUGGUGGUAGAUCAUAUGAAGG
Molecule: long non-coding RNA, 2057 nt
Organism: Oncorhynchus tshawytscha (Chinook salmon)
Lineage: Eukaryota; Metazoa; Chordata; Actinopteri; Salmoniformes; Salmonidae
Source: Ensembl